This is a non-coding RNA of Homo sapiens (human), 148 nucleotides long. It matches the Rfam family "Metazoan signal recognition particle RNA". From Rfam's summary of the family: The signal recognition particle (SRP) is a universally conserved ribonucleoprotein. It is involved in the co-translational targeting of proteins to membranes. The eukaryotic SRP consists of a 300-nucleotide 7S RNA and six proteins: SRPs 72, 68, 54, 19, 14, and 9. Lineage: Eukaryota; Metazoa; Chordata; Mammalia; Primates; Hominidae. The record is from Rfam.
GCUGGGUGUGGUGGCAGGCACCUGUAGUCCCAGCUACUCAGGAGGCUGAGACAGGAGAAUUGCUUGAGCCCGGGAGGCGGAGGUUGCAGUGAGCCGAGAUUGUGCCACUGCACUCCAGCCUGGGCGACAGAGCGAGACCCUGUCUCAA